RNAcentral lists this unclassified non-coding RNA (257 nucleotides) under Hevea brasiliensis (rubber tree). Lineage: Eukaryota; Viridiplantae; Streptophyta; Magnoliopsida; Malpighiales; Euphorbiaceae. The record is from RNAcentral.
GAAUCUUCUUUAGUUACCAUUAGAGGUCCUGCUGAGGCUGCUGUUGAUGCGGUUCAUGCCAUAUUGAAAGAGCUGGUUCACAAGUCUAUCAAUGAGACUCCGGAGUUAAAGCAAUAUCCUGCUCUCAGAGUGGAGGUUGGAAAUGCUGCUAUUGAGUCACUCGACAGGAUGAAGGAGGAAAGCAGAAAAGCUACACUUAAGCUAGUCGAUAUGGAGAGUAGCUACCUAACAGUUGAUUUCUUCAGGAAGCUUCCUCA